RNAcentral lists this ribosomal RNA (426 nucleotides) under uncultured bacterium. RNAcentral describes it as "bacterial SSU rRNA". It matches the Rfam family "Bacterial small subunit ribosomal RNA", at positions 354 to 796 of the family's 1533-position model. The record is from RNAcentral.
GUUAAGAAUCUUGCGCAAUGGGCGCAAGCCUGACGCAGCGACGCCGCGUGCGCGAUGAAGGCCUUCGGGUUGUAAAGCGCAAUAGACAGGGAAGAAGAAAGUGACGGUACCUGUUGAAAGCACCGGCUAACUACGUGCCAGCAGCCGCGGUAAUACGUAUGGUGCAAGCGUUGUUCGGAUUUACUGGGCGUAAAGAGUGCGCGGGCGGAUCAUUAAGUCAGGUGUGAAAACUUCGGGCUCAACCCGAAGACUGCACUUGAAACUAAUAAUCUCGAGUCUCGGAGAGGCAGGCAGAAUUCCUGGUGUAGCGGUGAAAUGCGUAGAUAUCAGGAGGAAUACCAAUGGCGAAGGCAGCCUGCUGGACGAUGACUGACGCUGAGGCACGAAAGCGUGGGGAGCAAACAGGAUUAGAAACCCCAGUAGUCC